Long non-coding RNA from Notothenia coriiceps (black rockcod), 297 nucleotides. RefSeq lists it as uncharacterized. NCBI's taxonomy places the organism in Eukaryota, Metazoa, Chordata, Actinopteri, Perciformes, Nototheniidae. The transcript has 3 exons. The record is from RefSeq and is a predicted model, not a curated record.
UCCUCCUCCUCCUCCAGCACGUACCCAGACAUAACUACUGAUGAUCAGCGUCAUGAGUAUAAGAGAGAGUUUGAUGCCGACCUCAGGCGAUACAAGCGCCUGUGUGCUGAGAUGGACGACAUUAACGAUCAGUUGAACAAACUCAGCCGGCAGGUGGACACGCUGGAUGAGACCUCUCCCAAAUACCAGGCUGCAGCUGAGCAAUAUAACCAGCUGAAGGAUCUGAAGCAGACUUCAGAUUACCAGACUAAGAAGAAAGAGUGUCGCAGCCUGAGACACAAGCUGUUCCACAUCAAA